GUGGUCUUUUUUUUUAUCAGUGAACAGCCAGCACUGUAGAUGUGAUAGAGAAGGCUCCCACAAAACAAGGCUGUUUCCACUGUCUCGAUAAGUUACGAGUAUAUUAUGUAGCACGAAUCUUUCUUCGAAAGGAGUCGAUAGGGCCUUCAAUUUAUGUCACUAGGUGCACUUUCAGCUCGUUUCUGUCCAUAGGCGUAUUUACUAGGAGGAGGAGGGGGGAGGGGGAGGGGCACUCGCCCUGUGUGACAUGUGAAGUGCGCGAGGCGAUGCGAGCAUGGUACGUCGGAUGGCCGGGAGCAAUAGACGAUGACAAAGACGAAGGGCUGCGUGAGUUUGGCACCAGCGCGCCAAGCGUCACAACGAAAAAACAGACUUGCACCAAUUGGUGAAGUACACGGGGUGCAAACGCAGAAGGCUAAGAAGAAAGGUGAGAGGAGAGAAGGCAGCGAGAGCGGAGAAGACACGUCGGCGGUUGGAACAGAUGAAGGCGGCUAGGAUGAGAGGUGUGAUCUUGAACGAGUGCUUGGACCCGGGCUCACGAAGGCUCUACCUGGCCAUAUCUGCACUUGCCGACGACCUGGCGUGUUCGCGCAGCAGGCCGUGGUUUGUACGACAAUGAGCGUCCUCCGGAAGCUGGACGACGAGGCGCGAAAGAGUGGGGUGCAAGGCGACUGAGCCUGGAUCGCCUAUAGAAGCUCGAGACAUCACGAUCUGACCACUUCCCAAGCUUUUAUUAACACCCACCAAAACAAUGCCCCCCCCCCCCCCCCCAACCCC
This is a long non-coding RNA of Dermacentor silvarum, 777 nucleotides long. RefSeq lists it as uncharacterized. The record is from RefSeq and is a predicted model, not a curated record. NCBI's taxonomy places the organism in Eukaryota, Metazoa, Arthropoda, Arachnida, Ixodida, Ixodidae. The transcript is spliced from 2 exons.